Molecule: ribosomal RNA, 460 nt
Filed under: uncultured bacterium
Lineage: Bacteria
Description: partial 16S ribosomal RNA
Rfam family: Bacterial small subunit ribosomal RNA
Source: RNAcentral
CCUACGGGUGGCAGCAGUGAGGAAUAUUGGUCAAUGGACGAGAGUCUGAACCAGCCAAGUAGCGUGAAGGAUGACUGCCCUAUGGGUUGUAAACUUCUUUUAUAUGGGAAUAAAACGUUCCACGUGUGGGAUUUUGUAUGUACCAUAUGAAUAAGGAUCGGCUAACUCCGUGCCAGCAGCCGCGGUAAUACGGAGGAGCCGAGCGUUAGCCGGAUUUAUUGGGUUUAAAGGGAGCGUAGGUGGAUUGUUAAGUCAGUUGUGAAAGUUUGCGGCUCAACCGUAAAAUUGCAGUUGAAACUGGCAGUCUUGAGUACAGUAGAGGUGGGCGGAAUUCGUGGUGUAGCGGUGAAAUGCUUAGAUAUCACGAAGAACUCCGAUUGCGAAGGCAGUUCACUGGACUGCAACUGACACUGAGGCUCGAAAGUGUGGGUAUCAAACAGGAUUAGAUACCCGUGUAGUC